RNAcentral lists this ribosomal RNA (472 nucleotides) under Boletus sp. 109-479. Its description in RNAcentral is "eukaryotic LSU rRNA". The stretch from base 1 to 106 matches the Rfam family "5.8S ribosomal RNA", at positions 50 to 154 of the family's 154-position model. The record is from RNAcentral. Lineage: Eukaryota; Fungi; Basidiomycota; Agaricomycetes; Boletales; Boletaceae.
GAAUUGCGAUAAGUAAUGUGAAUUGCAGAUUUCCAGUGAAUCAUCGAAUCUUUGAACGCACCUUGCGCUCCUUGGUAUUCCGAGGAGCAUGCCUGUUUGAGUGUCACCGAAUUAUCAACCAUCUCUUGAUCAAUUUCAAGAUCUUGGCUUGGAGUUGGGAUUUGCUGGCAUGCUGGGACAAUCCCUAGUCAGCUCUCCUAAAAUUCAUUAGCAAUGGCUUGCUAGUCUUUUGAUGUGCACGGCCUUUCGAUGUGAUAAUGAUCUCGUCGUGGCUGGAGCAUCUUAUUUAGACCAUGCAUGAAUGGCCCAUGGCUUAUAAUAUUUGAAUUCACUCGUCUUGAAAGUCUACCAAGCUUUAGUUACUAGUCAGUCUACAAGGUCUGGCGAACACAGAGCAAGGUUUUUCUUGACUUGUGUAUUUACCUUUUGGAAGCUUGACCUCAAAUCAGGUAGGAUUACCCGCUGAACUUAA